Molecule: non-coding RNA, 127 nt
Organism: Triticum aestivum (bread wheat)
Lineage: Eukaryota; Viridiplantae; Streptophyta; Magnoliopsida; Poales; Poaceae
Source: Rfam
CUCAUACUUCCUCCGCCCCGAAUUACUUGUCGAGGAAAUGGAUGUAUCUAAAACGUAUUUUUAGUACUAGAUACAUCAAUUCCUCUUCAUUUUUGCGACAAGUAAUUCGGGAUGGGGGGAGCAUUUU